GACGAACGCUGGCGGCGCGCUUAACACAUGCAAGUCGAGCGAUGAAACUUUAACAGAACCCUUCGGGGCGAAGAUAAAGUGGAUUAGCGGCCGACGGUUGAGUAACACGUGAGUAACCUGCCUUAGACAUUGGGAUAGCCUCGGGAAACCGGGAUUAAUACCAAAUAAAAUCAUAAUGACACAUGUCAUUACUAUCAAAACUCCGGUGGUCUAAGAUGGACUCGCGUCCCAUUAGCUAGUUGGUAGAGUAAAAGCCUACCAAGGCGACGAUGGGUAGCCGGCCUGAGAGGGUGAACGGCCACAUUGGAACUGAGAAACGGUCCAAACUCCUACGGGAGGCAGCAGUGGGGAAUAUUGCACAAUGGAGGGAACUCUGAUGCAGCGACGCCGCGUGAACGAAGAAGGCUUUCGAGUCGUAAAGUUCUUUUAUAUGGGAAGAUAAUGACGGUACCAGAAGAAAAAGCCCCGGCUAACUACGUG
Molecule: ribosomal RNA, 480 nt
Filed under: uncultured bacterium
Lineage: Bacteria
Description: partial 16S ribosomal RNA
Rfam family: Bacterial small subunit ribosomal RNA
Source: RNAcentral